Molecule: long non-coding RNA, 1131 nt
Filed under: Brassica rapa (field mustard)
Lineage: Eukaryota; Viridiplantae; Streptophyta; Magnoliopsida; Brassicales; Brassicaceae
Description: long non-coding RNA (BRAP_LNC004125)
Source: RNAcentral
ACGAGAUUUUUCUUAAAGCCAUUAUGAAACUUUAGAGUAUAAGUCAAAUAAAAUAAUACUGUAAGACUUUUAUUGAUCGACAAGUAACUAACCAAGUUUUGAAUUCAAAAUUCGCAAGGCUCUCUGCUUAUCUAUAGUCACAUGUUGUAACCAAUUUCAAAAUAAAUUAUCAUUGUCUCAUCAUUCGAUAAAAAGAGGUAUCGAAAAAAAUAUCGUUGACUCAUCAUACACCCUACUUACAUUUUUUGGUUUGUCCAAUACUUUUGCUUUGAACUUUCAAAUUCAAAAUACAUCCUUUUAUUUUAAUAAGUUGAGAGUUAUACAUAAGUCAAUAUGUCUAUAGUUUGAAUCGGUAAUCGAUGACAGCAAACAUUUCAUAUUAAUAUAUUUUUUUUCAAAAUUAUCAACAAAAUUUUGAAUAUAAGAAAAACAAACUUUAGGUUAAAGAUUGGUUCAUUAGUGUUAGAUGUAUUCUUCUAACAUUUUAAUUGCUACUGUUUUCUUCCUACAGUUUUUCCUUGCUUUCUUUAAUUUAAACUCCUAUUAUAUGUGUUUCAAAAAAAAAAAAACUCCUAUUACAUAUCAGUACAUCACUAGCAACAAAGUAUCGAUUGACAAGGCAACAUCAAGAAAAUUAUAAAGAGGAAGAAGACGAUCAAGGAUGGCCUGGUGGAAACAACAUCUCUGCGAGCAUUUAACAUCCAACCAAUCGCAAUAAAGUUUUCUCCUUGUUGGGGCCUUCUCAUUUGGACUCUUAUUAAAUUAAAUUUUCCUAAUUAAGAGUUUUACUUCAAAGGUGAAAAAGAAAAGAAAAACACUUUAACCAAAAAAAAAAAGAAAAAGUAAAAACAAAAAGCUGUAUUAAUUAAUGGCUAGGGGAAGGAUUCUUCUAGCUCGGAUGCUUCUCAUUAAUUAGCAAACGGUGAAUUAAUGGCACAUAUGCCCACUGUACGUGUGAAGAUGAUUAAUGUGGGCAUUAUAAUCAUAGUUAGUAUAGACAAGUACUACUAAAUAGAAACUUUUAAUUACCCACAUCUCACGGAGAAAUCAAACCAAAUCUAUGUUUAAAUCCCCCACUAAAUUACAAUUAAUUAACCACUAAUUAAAAUAUAUUCCUUUUUCUAUUUCCCC